RNAcentral lists this ribosomal RNA (2980 nucleotides) under Dehalococcoidia bacterium. RNAcentral's name for it is "23S ribosomal RNA". It matches the Rfam family "Bacterial large subunit ribosomal RNA". The record is from RNAcentral. Lineage: Bacteria; Bacillati; Chloroflexota; Dehalococcoidia.
GGUCAAGCGGAAAUAAGGCGCACGGUGGAUGCCUUGGCAUCAAGGGCCGAAGAAGGGCGUGGCAAGACUGCGAUAAGCCUCGGCGAGCUGUCUAGCAAGCCUAGCCGGGGAUUCCCGAAUGGGGCAACCCAUCCCGAUAAAAUCGGGAUACCCCCAGCCGAACACAUAGGCUGGGUGGAGGUAAGCGGGGGAACUGAAACAUCUUAGUACCCCGAGGAAAAGAUAUACAUUCCCUUAGUAGUGGCGAACGAACGGGGAACAGCCUAAACUGUAAUAGCUGAGUGGUUUCAGGACCUAUGUUGUUACAGUGUUGCAAGAACGGUCAUACUGAACCUGGACUAAGUGAAGGAGUUACCAACCGUACCCUAGAUGAAGGUCUCUGGAAAGAGCCACCACAGAGGGUGAUAGUCCCGUAAACGAAAGGGGAAGGCUCCUGACCAUUUCUUAAGUACCAUGGGGCACGAGGAACCCCAUGGGAAUCCGCUCCGCCCACGGAGCAAGGCUAAAUACUCUUGAUGACCGAUAGCGAACUAGUACCGUGAGGGAAAGGUGAAAAACACCCCGGGAGGGGAGUGAAAUAGAUCUGAAACCGUGUGCUAACAAGCGGUCAGAGUCCUUCUUCGGAAGGAUGAUGGCGUGCCUAUUGAAGAAUGAGCCAGUGAGUUAAUCUGUGUGGCAUGGUUAAGCAAUUAAGUUGCGGAGCCGGAGCGAAAGCGAGUCCGAAUAGGGCGACUAAGUCGCACGGAUUAGACCCGAAGCCGGGUGAGCUAUCCAUGGUCAGUGUGAAGCUCUGGUAAAAUCAGAGUGGAAGUACGAACCCGUUAGCGUUGCAAAGCUAUGGGAUGAACUGUGGAUAGGGGUGAAAUGCCAAACGAACCCGGAGAUAGCUGGUUCUCCCCGAAAUGUAUUUAGGUACAGCCCCAGAUGGUCGCUCGUGGAGGUAGGGCUCUGAAUGGAUUAGGGGGAUAGCAUCCUACCAACUCCAAUCAAACCUUGAAUGCCAUGAGCCUUUAGUCUGGGAGUGAGACUGUGGGGGAUAAGCUCCAUGGUCGAGAGGGAAACAGCCCAGACCAUCAGCUAAGGUCCCUAAGCGCGAGCUAAGUGGGAAAGGAAGUACUACCGCGCAGACAGCCAGGAGGUUGGCUUAGAAGCAGCCACCCUUCAAAGAGUGCGUAAUAGCUCACUGGUUGAGUGGUGGUGCGCCGACAAUUCAACGGGGCUUAAGCUCGUCACCGAAGCUAUGGUUCCGGUUCUUCGGAAUCGGAAGGUAGGGGAGCGUUCCCGCGCUGUGAAGCUAUUGCGUGAGCAAUUGUGGAGCGACGGGAAGUGAGAAUGCUGGCAUGAGUAGCGAAAGACGUGUGAGAAACACGUCCACCGGAAACCCGAGGUUUCCUACGGAAGGUUAAUCCGCGUAGGGUUAGUCGGGCCUAAGCUGAGGCCGCGAGGCGUAAGCGAUGGACAACGGGUUAUUAUUCCCGUACCGUUCCUGUGGAGGCAAAGAGGGGGUACGGAUGGGCAGGUUGAGCAUACCUAUUGGACAUGGUGUGUUCUUCAUCCAAGGUGAUGCCGGGGCAGGGAAAUCCACUCCGGAUGUUAUAGCUGAGGAUGAAGGGAAAUUGAGGGGAGACCCGAGAUAACUCAGCUGUGCUCCUACCGUCUAGAAAAGCCUCGUUGCCGUUGAACCAGGAGCGCCCGUACCGCAAACCGACUCUGGUGGGUGGGGAUGAGAGUCCCAAGGUGUUCGAGAAAACCCUCGUUAAGGAACUCGGCAAUCUAGCCCCGUAACUUAGGGAAAAGGGGCGCCCCGGCUAAUACCCGGGGCAGCAUUAAACGGGCCCAAGUGACUGUUUAACAAAAACACAGGUCUCUGCGAAAGCGUAAGCUGACGUAUAGGGGCUGAUACCUGCCCAGUGCCGGAAGGUUAAGGGGAGUGGUCAUCCCGACGCAAGUCGGGAGAAGCUGCGAACCGAAGCCCCGGUGAACGGCGGCCGUAACUAUAACGGUCCUAAGGUAGCGAAAUCCCUUGUCGGGUAAGUUCCGACCUGCACGAAUGGUGUAACAACUUGGGCGCUGUCUCAACGAGGGGCUCGGCGAAAUUGAAGUACCCGUGAAGAUGCGGGUUACCCGUCACAGGACAAAAAGACCCUGUGGAGCUUUACUGUAUCUUGGCACUGGAUCUGGGCUUAACUUGCGUAGUAUAGGUGGGAGGCUGAGAAGCCCUUCUCUCGGGAGGGGUGGAGCCAACAGUGAAAUACCACUCUUGUUGAGUUUAGGUUCUAACCUCAGUGCAAGCUGGGGGACAGUGUCAGGUGGGCAGUUUGACUGGGGCGGUCGCCUCCCAAAUGGUAACGGAGGCGCCCAAAGGUUCCCUCAGAGUGGAUGGAAAUCACUCAGUGAGUGCAUUGGCAUAAGGGAGCUUGACUGUGAGACCUACAAGUCGAACAGGGACGAAAGUCGGGCAAAGUGAUCCUACGGCUCCGAGUGGAAGGGCCGUGGCUUAACGGAUAAAAGCUACCCCGGGGAUAACAGGCUUAUCUUGCCCAAGAGUUCAUAUCGACGGCAAGGUUUGGCACCUCGAUGUCGGCUCGUCGCAUCCUGGGGGUGAAGCAGCUCCCAAGGGUCCGGCUGUUCGCCGGUUAAAGCGGUACGCGAGCUGGGUUCAGACCGUCGUGAGACAGGUCGGUCUCUAUCCGUGAUGGGCGUCCGGAGAUUUGAGGGGGGCUCUCUCUAGUACGAGAGGAUCGAGAGGGACAGACCGCUGGUGUCCCAGUUGUCCCGCCAGGGGCAUUGCUGGGUAGCUAUGUCUGGUUGUGAUAAGUGCUGAAAGCAUCUAAGUACGAAGCAUGCCCCGAGAUAAUAUCUCCUGUCCCCGGUUCGCCGGGGAGUAAGUCCGCAGGUAGACUACCUGCUCGAUAGGCGGCGUGUGUAAGCACAGCAAUGUGUUUAGCUAAGCCGUACUAAUGGACGAGGGCUUGACCUG